UCUAAGGAAGACCAAAAUAUUUCUUUUGGUCUCAAAAAAUAUGUUAAUGUGGCCGUCCUCAUUUCUCUUCUUAUUAAUUAAAGUGUCUCAUAAAUGCUUAGGGGCCGGUAGCUCAGGUGGUUAGAGCGCACCCCUGAUAAGGGUGAGGUCGCACGUUCGAGUCGUGCUCGGCCCACCAUUUUUCAUGGGGGAUUAGCUCAGCUGGGAGAGCGCCUGAUUUGCAUUCAGGAGGUCAGCGGUUCGAUCCCGCUAUCCUCCACCAAUUUUGACAUUUUUAGCUUUUUUAAAUUGUAAAUAAUGAAUAUCAAUUUUGAUUGUUCAAACAGUAAGAACAAUCAAACAAUAUCUAUAUCCGAUUGUUCGAAUAGAUGAACAAUCAAUAAAUAUUCGAAUAGAUGAAUAUUUAAUUAAAAAUUUAAUUUAGACAGAAAAUUAUUUUCUG
This 442-nucleotide transfer RNA is filed under the name uncultured marine bacterium. Its description in RNAcentral is "partial contains 16S ribosomal RNA, 16S-23S ribosomal RNA intergenic spacer, and 23S ribosomal RNA". The stretch from base 187 to 259 matches the Rfam family "tRNA". The record is from RNAcentral.